AAUAGAUACCCCGGUACGUCCACGCCGUAAACGAUGAGUGCUAAGUGUUGGGGGGGUUUCCGCCCCUCAGUGCUGCAGCUAACGCAUUAAGCACUCCGCCUGGGGAGUACGGUCGCAAGACUGAAACUCAAAGGAAUUGACGGGGGGCCCGCACAAGCGGUGGAGCAUGUGGUUUAAUUCGAAGCAACGCGAAGAACCUUACCAGGUCUUGACAUCCCAUUGACCACUAUGGAGACAUAGUUUUCCCUUCGGGGACAACGGUGACAGGUGGUGCAUGGUUGUCGUCAGCUCGUGUCGUGAGAUGUUGGGUUAAGUCCCGCAACGAGCGCAACCCUUGUUCUUAGUUGCCAUCAUUUAGUUGGGCACUCUAAGGAGACUGCCGGUGACAAACCGGGAGGAAGGUGGGGGAUGACGGUCAAAUCAUCAUGCCCCUUAUGACCUGGGGCUACACACGUGCUACAAUGGACGGUACAAACGGUUGCCAACCCGCGAGGGGGAGCUAAUCCGGAAUAAAACCGUUCUCAGUUCGGAUUGUAGGCUGCAACUCGCCUACA
Molecule: ribosomal RNA, 554 nt
Filed under: uncultured bacterium
Lineage: Bacteria
Description: bacterial SSU rRNA
Rfam family: Bacterial small subunit ribosomal RNA
Source: RNAcentral